AGGACGAACGCUGGCGGCGUGUUUAACACAUGCAAGUCGAACGGUGAAGCCUUUCGGGGUGGAUCAGUGGCGAACGGGUGAGUAACACGUGAGCAAUCUGCCCUUGACUCUGGGAUAACUUCGGGAAACCGGAGCUAAUACCGGAUAUGACGCAUGGCCGCAUGGUCUGUGUGUGGAAAGAUUUAUUGGUCAGGGAUGAGCUCGCGGCCUAUCAGCUUGUUGGUGGGUAAUGGCCUACCAAGGCGACG
This 248-nucleotide ribosomal RNA is filed under the name uncultured soil bacterium. RNAcentral describes it as "partial 16S ribosomal RNA". It matches the Rfam family "Bacterial small subunit ribosomal RNA", at positions 26 to 278 of the family's 1533-position model. The record is from RNAcentral.